GACGAACGCUGGCGGCGUGCUUAACACAUGCAAGUCGAACGGAAAGGCCCUGCUUUUCUGGGGUGCUCGAGUGGCGAACGGGUGAGUAACACGUGAGUAACCUGCCCUUGACUUUGGGUUAACUUCAGGAAACUGGGGCUAAUACCGGAUAGGAGCUCCUGCUGCAUGGUGGGGGUUGGAAAGUUUCGGCGGUUGGGGAUGGACUCGCGGCUUAUCAGCUUGUUGGUGGGGUAGUGGCUUACCAAGGCUUUGACGGGUAGCCGGCCUGAGAGGGUGACCGGCCACAUUGGGACUGAGAUACGGCCCAGACUCCUACGGGAGGCAGCAGUGGGGAAUAUUGCACAAUGGGCGGAAGCCUGAUGCAGCAACGCCGCGUGCGGGAUGACGGCCUUCGGGUUGUAAACCGCUUUCGCCUGUGACGAAGCGUGAGUGACGGUAAUGGGUAAAGAAGCACCGGCUAACUACGUG
This 468-nucleotide ribosomal RNA is filed under the name uncultured bacterium. RNAcentral describes it as "partial 16S ribosomal RNA". It matches the Rfam family "Bacterial small subunit ribosomal RNA", at positions 28 to 507 of the family's 1533-position model. The record is from RNAcentral.